Non-coding RNA from Lonchura striata (white-rumped munia), 365 nucleotides. The record is from RefSeq and is a predicted model, not a curated record. Lineage: Eukaryota; Metazoa; Chordata; Aves; Passeriformes; Estrildidae.
GGGCUACAAAGGGAAGAGAUGUUGUCCUCUUUAGGAUUUGCCCAGGUCAAUGUUGCUGCAGAGCCAGGAGAGGGAGCACAGACAUUGCUGCUUCUUGAUCAUACUUUUAGAGCAUCGACCCACAGUGUACAUCUCGUGUAUCUAUCAUGUGGACUGACAGAAAAACCUCUUCCAAAAACUCUCCUCUCUUCCCGCUAGAGGGAGAGCUCUCCCAGAAUACUCGUGGGAAACAGUUCCGCUGACUGACUCUUCUACUCUAAACAAACGUUUUUAGGAAUAUUUGCGUCUAGUGGUAAGGGUUACCCUGCAAUGAAAUGAUAUGUAAUGACAUGUAAAGAAGUAAAAUUUCUGUCAGGUCUUGGGGA